Molecule: long non-coding RNA, 221 nt
Filed under: Parus major (Great Tit)
Lineage: Eukaryota; Metazoa; Chordata; Aves; Passeriformes; Paridae
Description: lncRNA (ENSPMJG00000004980.1)
Source: RNAcentral
AUGGAUCAAGACUUUUUUGGAUUUUUAACACACUUCUGGAGAGAAGUGGAAACAACCUGGGAUUCCUAUUUUUGGGGUUUGCACUGGUUCCACCCACGAUGGAAAAUGCUGGAAAUGAGAAGAGUGAAAAGCCCAAACUGGUGUCAGGCUGACAAGGCUUCUCCUGGCUUUUCAAAGUGGUCACUGUGAAUUAUCAGGCCUGGCAGGUAAAUACAGUGGAG